RNAcentral lists this ribosomal RNA (301 nucleotides) under uncultured bacterium. Its description in RNAcentral is "partial 16S ribosomal RNA". It matches the Rfam family "Bacterial small subunit ribosomal RNA", at positions 509 to 807 of the family's 1533-position model. The record is from RNAcentral.
CAGUCGCCACGGUAAUACGUAGGGUGCGAGCGUUAAUCGGAAUUACUGGGCGUAAAGCGUGCGCAGGCGGUGAUGUAAGACAGUUGUGAGAUCCCCGGGCUCAACCUGGGAACUGCAUCUGUGACUGCAUCGCUGGAGUGCGGCAGAGGGGGAUGGAAUUCCGCGUGUAGCAGUGAAAUGCGUAGAUAUGCGGAGGAACACCGAUGGCGAAGGCAAUCCCCUGGGCCUGCACUGACGCUCAUGCACGAAAGCGUGGGGAGCAAACAGGAUUAGAUACCCCUGUAGUCCCUGUCUCUUAUAC